GUAGACCCGUACGCGAAAGGAUCUUUGAAGUGAAAUCGAGUAGGACGGAGCACGAGAAACUUUGUCUGAACAUGGGGGGACCAUCCUCCAAGGCUAAAUACUACUGACUGACCGAUAGUGAACCAGUACCGUGAGGGAAAGGCGAAAAGAACCCCGGAGAGGGGAGUGAAAUAGAACCUGAAACCGUAUGCGUACAAGCAGUGGGAGCCUACUUGUUAGGUGACUGCGUACCUUUUGUAUAAUGGGUCAGCGACUUAUAUUCAGUGGCAAGCUUAACCGUAUAGGGUAGGCGUAGCGAAAGCGAGUCUUAAUAGGGCGUUUAGUCGCUGGGUAUAGACCCGAAACCGGGCGAUCUAUCCAUGAGCAGGUUGAAGGUUAGGUAACACUGACUGGAGGACCGAACCCACUCCCGUUGAAAAGGUAGGGGAUGACUUGUGGAUCGGAGUGAAAGGCUAAUCAAGCUCGGAGAUAGCUGGUUCUCCUCGAAAGCUAUUUAGGUAGCGCCUCAUGUAUCACUCUGGGGGGUAGAGCACUGUUUCGGCUAGGGGGUCAUCCCGACUUACCAAACCGAUGCAAACUCCGAAUACCCAGAAGUGCCGAGCAUGGGAGACACACGGCGGGUGCUAACGUCCGUCGUGAAAAGGGAAACAACCCAGACCGCCAGNUAAGGUCCCAAAGUUGUGGUUAAGUGGUAAACGAUGUGGGAAGGCUUAGACAGCUAGGAGGUUGGCUUAGAAGCAGCCAUCCUUUAAAGAAAGCGUAAUAGCUCACUAGUCGAGUCGGCCUGCGCGNAAGAUGUACGGGUCUAC
This 809-nucleotide ribosomal RNA is filed under the name Pseudomonas aeruginosa. RNAcentral describes it as "bacterial LSU rRNA". It matches the Rfam family "Bacterial large subunit ribosomal RNA", at positions 367 to 1184 of the family's 2925-position model. Lineage: Bacteria; Pseudomonadati; Pseudomonadota; Gammaproteobacteria; Pseudomonadales; Pseudomonadaceae. The record is from RNAcentral.